This 494-nucleotide ribosomal RNA is filed under the name uncultured bacterium. RNAcentral's name for it is "partial 16S ribosomal RNA". It matches the Rfam family "Bacterial small subunit ribosomal RNA", at positions 28 to 507 of the family's 1533-position model. The record is from RNAcentral.
GACGAACGCUGGCGGCGCGCUUAACACAUGCAAGUCGAACGGAAAGGCCUGCUUUCCCUUGUGGAUUGCGGGUACUCGAGUGGCGAACGGGUGAGUAACACGUGAGUGAUCUGCCCCCAACUUGGGUAUAAGCCUGGGAAACUGGGUCUAAUUCUCGAUAGGACUGCAGGGUGGUGCCUGUGGUGGCAAACGAUUUUCUAGUGGUUGGGGAUGAGCUCGCGGCCUAUCAGCUUGUUGGUGGGGUAAUGGUCUACCAAGGCGGGGACGGGUAGCCGGCCUGGGAGGGUGGACGGCCACAUUGGGACUGAGACACGGCCCAGACGGCUACGGGAGGCAGCAGUGGGGAAUAUUGCACAAUGGGCGGAAGCCUGAUGCAGCGACGCCGCGUGGGGGAUGACGGCCUUCGGGUUGUAAACUCCUUUCGACCGCGAGGAAGCCACCUGGUUGGAAGGGUGGUGACGGUAGUGGUAGAAAAAGCACCGGCUAACUACGUG